AUAUAUAAGAUAAAAAAAUAAUUAAAAGUGUAAAACUUUCUUUUAGGGAAAAAUGGCUUUUCAAACAAGGCCUAGUGUCCAUCUGUUCUCUUUCUUAGAUUGUCUUUUAUUGUGUAGAUAUACCAUAAACUCAAGUAAUCGUCCGUGUGGUACGUUUUACUAGAAUAUGGUGCCGAGAUGGAUGAAUGAAAGCUUCGAAAUCAGCUUGCAUUUUCUCCCCCCUUAGGAAGAUGAUUAAGUAGCAGGAGUCUGUCAUGUGGCCGCCACUAACCCGCAGGCAACAACGUAAUCUUGUGUUUUUGAUCAGUAAAGGAAAGGGGCCUCAGAAGAAGGCUGCAAUAGGGAAAAUAGUGUAAUGUGAGGAAGAUCAAGAGACAUCCUAAGUAAGCAAAAGGCUUGAAAAUUACUCGUUGGCAACAAAUGGAGAAAGUGAUUGAAUUGAUUAAAGAAUUACUCACGUAUAUAAUCUGAUAGGGGCAUGGAAUCAGUUGGAUGUGAAUGUAGGAGAGAAGAUCGAACUGAUUA
Coffea arabica (coffee) is the source of this 525-nucleotide long non-coding RNA. RefSeq lists it as uncharacterized. Lineage: Eukaryota; Viridiplantae; Streptophyta; Magnoliopsida; Gentianales; Rubiaceae. The record is from RefSeq and is a predicted model, not a curated record.